CACCCCCCAGUGUCACCGCGCUCAUUAUUGGCCGACACCCGGGACUCACCCCCAUCACGAGUUGCACCCAGGAGCCCCAGGGGGAGUUUUUCUGUUCACCUUCUCCCUUGUGUAUUUCUCCAGAACCGAAGGCAUGUGGGAGGACAGAGUUGUUUUGCAGGGCACUGGAAGUUUUGUGUCCCAGCCAAGACCUGCACUUCAAUUUUUAUUUACUUUUAUAUGUUGCUGGCGUGGGGCCGCAAGGUUUUCCAUCAACAGAAAUGGCUGCUGAUUGAGGCGAUUUGCUUUCUCCCCAGCACUGAAGAGAGCCCCAUUCUCCAAAGCAGGUGUUUUUAGAUCAAGAUGGGCCGUUGGAUGACACAGUGGGGAAUACACUUAGUAAAGCAAUGUCAUAAAUUGGGCUAGUGUCGGCUUCCUGAUUUAAUGCUUUGCUCUAUUUGGUCAUGAAUUAUAUAUUCUUUUUCAGAUUGAUCAUUUCUCUCACUGAUAAAGGGACAGUGUUCUACCCAGUGGGUUUGGCCCCUGACCCAAGAAAUAUACCAAUGCAUCAAAAUUCCCUGAGCUGACAACUUUGGGUGAACUCUGGAGACUGUAAAUCUGCAAAGGCAGAGAGUGGGCAGGCGGGCAGGCCUCUGUGCUGGAACUCUCCCCUCACUUAGUAUGCAUCGACUACCAUGAUGGUCGAGCAAUUCCUUGUCUGCUUUUUACCCAGUGUAAUUUGCAAAUUGAUUAUUCUUCCUUAGAAGUCUUUCUUAAUUAAAUAGUAACUGCAGUUAUUACCCUCAGACAAAGAGGACAUUUUAGUGUCUUGGCAGAGGACAGCCUUAGCUCAGUGGAUUUUCAUUUAUUGAGGUGUCUGCCAUGGACUAUUGUGCGCAGAACCCUGCCUGAUGGCUCCUUCUAGGGGAAUGAGAUAGUCCUCCUUGCCCACAAAGAGCUAGAAGCAGGUGAGUUAAUAAUAAGGCAUUAUAGCAAAAUAUGCAUAGAUGCCUUUGCUUUUGAAUGCACUCAUUUCAAACAUCAUCCUAUUCCAUUUUCAUACCAUGCAUGGCGAAUGACAGUAGUCUCCAUUUGUCAGAUGAGGAAAGUAAGGGAGAAAGAAUUUAGGGAUUUGCCCAAGCUCAUAGAGAAAAGUGAGAAGCAGGACUAGCAUAGAGAUGACCGGCUUCCUUGACUGCUCCUUAGGUUGAAUGAGGCCCAGAUGUGUUCAUCAAAUGCCACUGGGCCCUGUAGACAUGGGUAGAACUGCCGUGGGUGAACAGGCAUCUUCACUGGACACCAGCCUUCCAAUCAGGCCAGUGGUUCCGAAUCCUUGACAGCGUCAGGAAAAUCUGGG
This 1336-nucleotide long non-coding RNA is filed under the name Vulpes vulpes (red fox). RNAcentral describes it as "lncRNA (ENSVVUG00000014557.1)". Lineage: Eukaryota; Metazoa; Chordata; Mammalia; Carnivora; Canidae. The record is from RNAcentral.